This is a long non-coding RNA of Salvia miltiorrhiza (redroot sage), 1523 nucleotides long. RefSeq lists it as uncharacterized. The transcript is spliced from 2 exons. The record is from RefSeq and is a predicted model, not a curated record. Lineage: Eukaryota; Viridiplantae; Streptophyta; Magnoliopsida; Lamiales; Lamiaceae.
UAUAUGUGAUGAUUUAUUUUUUUUUAUUUUCAAUAGAUGAUGCACUCAAAAUAUAUUUUGAGUCCAUUAAUUUAUUGUGGAGAAUUUAACACUGAAGUGUUAAAUAUGAAUCUUUUAUCGAUUGUUUACUUAAGCCCAUGAGUAAUUUAAUUUAUGUUAGAGGCAAGCUCAAGUGAAUUUUAUGCUUCAAUGAGAAUUAGGCUUAUAUAUCUUAAUGUGUUUAUAUGAGAUUAAGCACAUAUGGUUCUCAUUCAUCCACAUCCCUCUCAUUCUUCUAUUAAACCAAUCACCAAUACGUUCACAAUUUUCUUCACCUACUACUUCACAAUUUUCUUCACCAAUACGUUCACAAUUUUCUUCACCAAUACGUUCACAAUUUUCUUCACCUACUACUUCACAAUUUUCUUCACCUCUAAAGUCAAUCUCCAAAUAGAAUUUUGCUUCUUUAAAACCUAUUCCACUAUCUCAACUCACCCAUUCCCACCUCUGCAGCAAGUUUUAUAAAGUAAUAGAGUGAAGAUUAUUCAUCUCAUUCAAUUCUUCUUCACAAUUGGCUUCUAAUCUAUGCCAUAUAUAAAAUCUGCAGAGACUAAUACCAUACACCUAUUCAAGGUUCAAAUAAACAAAAGCGUCUGAGUAACCUAUCGCGCUAAGGAAAGAGAAUCGUUGUCUUAAGUAGCAAAACACUGCAAUCAGGUGGGCAUUACUUUUACUAUACGUAUAUAGAGAUCCCCUGCGUGUCGUAGGCCUCUUAUACGAAUGAAUGCAUGAGAUGAUUUAACUGUUAAUUUCAGUUUUAUAUAUCUAUCAAACGAAUUUAAUGUUACAUUUAAACAAGAUAUUUCAUUACAAAAUCAUUGAACUGAAAAUUAUUUCAAUUGUUGUCUUGCCAUAAAUGUUUAAAUUUUAGUAUGAUAUCUAUCUGCUUUGGCUUUGCCAAUGAUGCAAUCGAAUUCGGGUCCUGAGCAGUUGAUAGCUAUCCUGCCAGGACUAGUGUACACCAGUGACCGUGAGUCAUCUAGCGGGUUGGCCGGUCAAGUGACCGUGAGAGGUGGCCACCUCUCCGGCACACAGUUCUAGAUAUGAUAGAUUACAAGAGAACUUAGUCUGCAGACGAACUUUAAGAAUCACAAAUGAACUUAGUAAGCUUGGGCCUUUUUAGCGAAAAACUCCCUUGCUGUACUGUUUAUGAUGGCAUGACAAUUUACAGUUUUGAAGCAUGUAUUUUUAUACCUAGGCAUACGUGCCCACUGAGUGCUUUUGUACUCAGCCCUGCAUAUGUUUUCUAAAUGUGCAGGUUGAGCUGAUGUGAUGAUGGUGCUGCAAUGAGCGGAGUCUCCAAGGUUGUUAAUAAAUAGUUAACCUGUCUAGAAUAUGUCUUCAUACAUAUGUCUAGCUACUUUCCGCUGCAAGAUGUUGUUGAUGUUAUAGUAUGUUAUGUCAUACUUUGAGUCUUAAGAGAAUGGUUUCAUAUGAUGUAUAACUUGAUUAAUGAUAUUAAUUAAGUUUUAUGCUGUCUUUCA